This 835-nucleotide ribosomal RNA is filed under the name uncultured fungus. Its description in RNAcentral is "eukaryotic LSU rRNA". The stretch from base 462 to 835 matches the Rfam family "Eukaryotic large subunit ribosomal RNA", at positions 1 to 373 of the family's 3401-position model. Lineage: Eukaryota; Fungi. The record is from RNAcentral.
GGCUUUAAUUAGUCAUCUUGCAAAUAUUAAUCCGCUGGCCUCGCAAGGGGCUAGUCGAUAGAUAACAUAAAUGUGUGUAGUGUUGACAGUGUGUGAUAUUUAAUUAAUUAUUGACAACUUUUAACAAUGGAUCUCUAGGCUCUUGCAUCGAUGAAGAACGCAGCAAAAUGCGAAACGUGAUGCGAUUUGCAUGAAUCUGUGAGUCAUCUAAUCUUUGAACGCGAAUGGCACUGUUACGUAAGUAGCAGUAUGUCUGUUUGAGAAUCGCAAACACGAUCAACUCUAGUUAGAGUUGGCAUUGACCUCAUGUGCUAUUCAAGGUGCAUUUGGUUUGAAUGGAUCAAGUUGAUGGGCUUCCCAGUGAUGCUCGAUGUGUGCUAGCGAGACAGUCGUCCCGAUCUCACAUUAUUGUAUCAUUGCAGAGCUCUAAUCACAGCUUGCUAACUAUCAUAUAUCUAUUACGAUCUCAAAUCAGGCAAGAUUACCCGCUGAACUUAAGCAUAUCAAUAAGCGGAGGAAAAGAAACUAACAAGGAUUCCCCUAGUAACGGCGAGUGAAGCGGGAAGAGUUCAAAUUUAAAAUCUGGCGUAAAAGCCCGAAUUGUAAUCUAAAGAGGCGCUAUCGGACACAAGUUUGUUGUACAAGUUCCCUGGAAUGGGACAUCACAGAGGGUGAGAAUCCCGUCUGGACAAUGGACAAGUGGCCAUAUGAGGCGUUCUCAAAGAGUCGAGUUGUUUGGGAUUGCAGCUCUAAAUGGGAGGUAAAUUUCUUCUAAGGCUAAAUAAAGGCAAGAGACCGAUAGCAAACAAGUACCGUGAGGGAAAGAUGAAAAGCA